Molecule: long non-coding RNA, 1583 nt
Filed under: Olea europaea subsp. europaea
Lineage: Eukaryota; Viridiplantae; Streptophyta; Magnoliopsida; Lamiales; Oleaceae
Source: RNAcentral
CGUUGGAUUAUCACUUAUUCCAUCAAUAGAUAGAAUUUUUUUUAAUUCUAAUUCUUUUAAAUUUUUUGUUGGAAUCUAGACACGAGGUUGAAUAUUAAGUAUGAAUCAUAGUUCAAAUAUUUCUUAAUCUAGUUCAUAUAUUCUGUGUUCGAGAUACUAGAAUAAAUUUUUGACGAAGUAGAAACAUCUCUAUCAAGAUAAGAGACACAUUCUCUAUACUAUCAAUAGGAUCAAUUAUAACAAGUCACACACUCAUAUUCCAAAAAUACAGAAAGAAAUAAAUUCCACGAUCGAACUACUGAAAUAUAAUAGGCUAAAAUUUCGAGCUCUAGCUGAUUUUUUUUAAUUCAAAAGGCAGGACUUUGCGGUUCUUAUAGAUUUAAUUCAUUGAAAUUCCAUCCAAUAAAAUAGAAGAAUUAUAAAUCUCCAAAAAAAAUAGAUAGAAAUAUUGUAAAUAGAGCCAUUGCGACACCCAUCAAAGGAGUCGUUCCCCAAUCGGGAGCUACUUUACCAUAUUCCAAAUUCAAUGGUUUUAAUAAACUUCCUACAGUAGUUCGUCUUGGACUAGAUCUAGAAUUGUUCUCUACAAUUUGUGUAGCCAUAAAUCCUAUUGUAUUCAUUGAGAUCUGUUGACUUUGUAUGCCAUUCUGUUGUAAAUAAACGAUCUUAUCAUAGAUCAAUUGCGAUCUUGAAAUUAUAAAAUCAUAAUGGAAACAAUAACCCUAGUCACCAUCUUUAUAUCUAGUUUACUUGUCAGUUUUAUUGGGUACGCCUUAUAUACCACUUUUGGGUAACCUUUUCAACAACUAAGAGAUCCAUUCGAGGAACAUGGGGACUAGUUGAAGUAAUGAGCCUCCCAAUAUGGAGAGGCUCAUUACUUCAAUUCAGAUCAUCUUUUUAGUUGAAACUUUAAGCGGUUCUCAAAAAAAGAUAGCGAAACAAAUUAUCCCUAGAGUCGAGACUAAGAGGAAUGUAUAAACUAAUGCUUCCACAGAUUCAAUCGUGGUUUACAAUUAUGGAAUCUAAAAAGGGAAAAAAGAGGAAAAAAAAAUGGGGGAUUAGUCACAGAUAUUUAAUUGUAUCUCUAAUCUUCUUCAUUCCUUCCCAUGUCAAUAACUAGAAUGAAAAAAAGGGAAAUGUCAACACAUCCGAGAAAAAAACGAUUAAUCUCUAUCAAUAUACCUACUAAAGCCCUAAACCAUAGCGUACUUAGUACUGGUGCAACAGAGAGCUAUGUUUUUAGACCUCGCAUUGAAAAGCCUCCUUCUUUUAUUUAUUGUAAUACAUAACGAUAAAGCAUAUAUGAUCAGCUAGAUAAGUAGUUAAGGACCACUUAUAGUUGUACAUGGAAUCCCUAAUUCAAAUUGAAAUGUACAAUGAUCCAUCAGAUUUUCUUUUUCUUAAAACAGAAAAAAAGAUCUCCUAGUAGCGAGUAUUUCCGAAAAGUAGUCUUUUUUUUUGCAAUGGGUUCUAUAUUUCGUAUAUAUAUAAUAAGUUUUUUACUUUUCUUAUUAUUAUAUGUUAAAUGAAACCAAAAAUAUGAAAUGGGCAGAAAAUAUGUGUACAUCAAUGGAACGACUAAG